GCGGGGAGCCCCUUCUCUGGGAGCAAACAGGCCCGGUUCUGGUUAUAAAAAUCCACCACUAGGAAGGGAUUAGGGGUGGGACCCCCCACUUCUACACUCUCGUACAUCUUUCCCCUCGAAGGCAAGAGGUCCGAGCUGGGAAGUCCUGCGCGCCGCCCCCGUCACUCAGCCGGCGGCGCCAUCCGAGCAGAGCAGCUGGGGGAGAGGAGACGUCCCCUCGCCCCGACUGGUGACCCGGGCAGGGGGCGCCCCCUGCCCUGAAGUCCCCGCGUCUAAGUCCGCCGGCCGCUCCGCCAGUCCCGGUGAAAAGCAGGGAAGUUGUGUGUGCUGGGAGGGGGGGUCCGUCGGCUCUCCCAGGGAAGCCUGGCGGGGCCCGGGAACUCAGCGGCUUCACCUCGAGGGGACUCCCGUCUAGAGUCUCGUGGCGUCCGAGGCAGAGUACAGCGGCUCCCCAAGUCCGCAGGCCGGGGGCGGGAUCAGCGCGGGGCUGGGGGUCAACGAGCACUUCCUCCUCCCAGCCGGGGAUCCGGGGCUUCUCCAGGGAUUCUCCGUGGCGAGGAUUCCGGGUGGGGGUGGGGAUCCCGCGCGGUUCCGCCCCCGCCAGGCCAGGGGCAGCUGGCGACUCGCUCGGUCUCUGGUGGUACGCGCCACGGCCCCCCCACCCCAGCUCUGCGCGCCCCCUCCCCUCCGGGCACCACCCCCUUUCCACCGCCCCGCCCCGUCCAGGCACCGCCCCUGGCUUAACCCAUUCCCGGCGCGUCCGGCUGCAGCGGGAGAAACGCAGGGAACCGAGAGGGAGAGGCGGCAUGUGGACAGGCCGGGCCUCAUUUGCCUAAUGCAAUGCGGCUGAACUCUCGCUGAACUCGCCUGGCGGCGCCUCACCUCCGAGUGACCCACCCACCGCUGCCCGUGACAUCACCCGCUCGCCAGCCCGCCCGCGGGGCUCGCCCGCCAGCCCCCUGCCCGGCCGAACCGGGCCACCUCCCCCGGAGACGCGGAGAGCGGCGGCAGGAGGCGUAGGGCCGGGUCGCGCGGGGCCAAGUGUUUGGCACCCGGGUGUGACAUUGUGCAGCUCGGACGCUGUGUCGGAAUGAGACACCGGCUUGUGUCAUUGUCUGUGACAUCAUGUGUGACUCCGGCCGCCGGAACCCGACGCGGCAGCGCGGGUGCUGUUGGCACAAACACAGGCAGAGGGGGCCCUCCUCCCCACGCUCUGCGUGCUUCCGGCGAGCAAAGCCCCGCCCAAGGUGUCUCCUAGCUGGGGAACCAGUACCGGCCCCUGGUGCACUGUCCAGCUCUGGAGAGAUAAAAGGAAGAGCUGGUGCCUUCCAGUGGACUACUUCAUCCUAGAAGCCCUCGGGAUGCACGUUUCACUGGAAGAAAGGCCUAGCUUGGGUAGGUCCCUAGAAAGAGGGGAUACCCCUGGAGGAGGGGGUAUCCUAUUACCCCCACUCUCUAAAAGGAAGGAUGGAAAUGUACAUGCUACCCAAGGACAUUCUUCUAGAAGAAGCCUGGCUCUUUAUAUAUGUUGUCAUUUUAUCCUCA
RNAcentral lists this long non-coding RNA (1545 nucleotides) under Homo sapiens (human). RNAcentral's name for it is "non-protein coding RARA-AS1:4". Lineage: Eukaryota; Metazoa; Chordata; Mammalia; Primates; Hominidae. The record is from RNAcentral.